AUCCCUUCUUGGCCUUUUGGCUAAGAUCAAGUGUAGUAUCUAUAGUGUUUCUGAGUGUAUCUCUUUGUAUAACUUCCUCACUAGUUGCAUUAGUUAUUACAUUAUAUAUACAUAACUUACGUAAU
Molecule: small nuclear RNA, 125 nt
Organism: Homo sapiens (human)
Lineage: Eukaryota; Metazoa; Chordata; Mammalia; Primates; Hominidae
Rfam family: U2 spliceosomal RNA
About the family: U2 is a small nuclear RNA (snRNA) component of the spliceosome (involved in pre-mRNA splicing).
Source: Rfam